AAUUGUGUCUGUAGUAGUGCGGAU
Molecule: non-coding RNA, 24 nt
Filed under: Arabidopsis thaliana (thale cress)
Lineage: Eukaryota; Viridiplantae; Streptophyta; Magnoliopsida; Brassicales; Brassicaceae
Source: RNAcentral